GCCGGGGCGUCCCCCGCGGGAGCCCGCAGCCACCCGGGACGCGCAUCCAGACGUGGCGCUUCGGACCGGGCACGCUGCGCCCGGGGGCUCGGCGGACCCCGCGUAGCCGCCGCUUCGGAGCUUGUGCGGCGCGGGCUGGCCAGCGGGGCGGCCAGGGCCCGGCCCGCCUCCCCAGCGCCCGCCCGGCUUCUCCCCCUGGCGGUGGGAGCCUCGGCGGCCGCUGGCGACACUAGGCGCACUGAAGCCCGAGCCGAGCCGAGCCCGAGCCGCCGCCGCCGCCGCCGCUGCUGCGCACCGCUCCCGGGCUCCCUCCCAGCGCGCCGGCCGGGGUGUGGGGGGCGGCGGGCCGGAGGGGCGAGGGCGGGCCAGGGGGCGCACACGGGGGUUGGCGCGGAAGACAGGACCCUCAGCCUCGAGGGAGCCCCUAGGUGACCAGGCAAAAUGGCAGUUCCUUCCAGCUGGUCCUCAGAUGGGCACAUCUAUUAGCCUCUGCUCUUGUAAGAAGUUAGCUGCAGAACCCACAUGUGAAUCCUUGUAGGACUCUGGAGAAGAUCAAAUGGGAGCUUAGAUGUGGAAGCUCUUUGGAAACCAAGAAACACUCUGAAAAUGAAAAGGCAUAAGAAUGUUUAUCACAGCAUGGCAUAUAUUGGAAGUUUAGUAAAUGAAGAUACAUCCAAUCUGACAUUCUAUUCACAACCACAAAGAGAUAAUGUAGAAACAUAUUUAGUAAUGUGAGAAAAUACUAAAUAUUAAGUGAAAAAGGUGGAAGAGUAAACUGUUCCUGUUUCUCCAUCUUGACAGGAAGCAGAAGUUCUCCUUAGCUGAUUUUUCUUCUUGCCUUAUACUGGGUUCUUUAACACCAGAACAAAAAUAAAUAAAUAAAAGAAUCUUCCAGAAAUUCAUGAAGAGACUUCAGGUCAGGAAAGCCUGAACUUUCUCAUCCAACACCCGUUCAAGUCGGAGGAUGCUGAUUAAUUCAUGAUGGAAAGGUAUCAAUUUCACAGCCCAGACCUCUACAUUCUUGAAAUGCUCUUCUCAUGGGAGACAUUAAAUAAGCUUUGAAUUAACUGACCAAUCAUGAUCUUUAUAGAAAAAUUGGAAGGAAGUACAGAAACAUGUGAAUGGAAAAAUAUCCAACCCGAGCAGGAUAAAACUGAUCAUCCUGAGGAUAUUGCCCUUGGAGUUAAUUUUUUGAGAGAAAUAAAACAAUAAACAUCAUAAGACACAAACCCCAAGCAACUGAUCUCACUGUUAAAAUCCAACCUGAGAACAAUGGAAUGGACCAUACUGUCUUUGUCACAACUCUGCCAUUGCAGCGUGAAAGCAUCCAUAGACGGUACACAAAUGCAUGGAUGUAGUUGUACUCCAGUACAACUGCAAAAAGCAGACAGCUGGCUGGGUUUAGCCUACGGGCCAUAGUUUACACAACUCAAUCUAGGUGAUUGCCUGGUAACUUUGUGAUUGUAAACAGGAAA
This 1475-nucleotide long non-coding RNA is filed under the name Homo sapiens (human). Its description in RNAcentral is "PREDICTED lncRNA (TCONS_00182882)". Lineage: Eukaryota; Metazoa; Chordata; Mammalia; Primates; Hominidae. The record is from RNAcentral.